GGCCAGACUCCUACGGGAGGCAGCAGUGGGGGAUAUUGCACAAUGGGGGAAACCCUGAUGCAGCGACGCCGCGUGAGUGAAGAAGUAAUUCGUUACGUAAAGCUCUAUCAGCAGGGAAGAAAAUGACGGUACCUGACUAGGAAGCCCCGGCUAACUACGUGCCAGCAGCCGCGGUAAUACGUAGGGGGCAAGCGUUAUCCGGAAUUACUGGGUGUAAAGGGAGCGCAGACGGCAGUGCAAGUCUGGAGUGAAAGCCCAAGGCUCAACCAUGGGACUGCUUUUGAAACUGUCAAACUAGAGUACGGGAGAGGUAAGAGGAAUUCCUAGUGUAGCGGUGAAAUGCGUAGAUAUUAGGAGGAACACCAGUGGCGAAGGCGGCUUACUGGACCGAAACUGACGUUGAGGCUCGAAAGCGUGGGGAGCAAACAGGAUUAGAUACCCCUGUAU
RNAcentral lists this ribosomal RNA (447 nucleotides) under uncultured bacterium. Its description in RNAcentral is "partial 16S ribosomal RNA". It matches the Rfam family "Bacterial small subunit ribosomal RNA", at positions 329 to 793 of the family's 1533-position model. The record is from RNAcentral.